RNAcentral lists this transfer RNA (73 nucleotides) under Buchnera aphidicola (Macrosiphoniella sanborni). RNAcentral's name for it is "tRNA-Ala". It matches the Rfam family "tRNA". Rfam says of the family: Transfer RNA (tRNA) molecules are approximately 80 nucleotides in length. Their secondary structure includes four short double-helical elements and three loops (D, anti-codon, and T loops). Further hydrogen bonds mediate the characteristic L-shaped molecular structure. tRNAs have two regions of fundamental functional importance: the anti-codon, which is responsible for specific mRNA codon recognition, and the 3' end, to which the tRNAs corresponding amino acid is attached (by aminoacyl-tRNA synthetases). tRNAs cope with the degeneracy of the genetic code in two manners: having more than one tRNA (with a specific anti-codon) for a particular amino acid; and 'wobble' base-pairing, i.e. permitting non-standard base-pairing at the 3rd anti-codon position. Lineage: Bacteria; Pseudomonadati; Pseudomonadota; Gammaproteobacteria; Enterobacterales; Erwiniaceae. The record is from RNAcentral.
GGGGCUAUAGCUCAUUUGGUAGAGUACUUGCAUGGCAUGCAAGAUGUAAGCGGUUCGAAUCCGCUUAGCUCCA